CUAUUUUAAUUAAUACGUAGUACUGAUACUGAUACCAGAUAGCAAUUUUAUUAUUGAUUCAGUCUGCUAAUGAAAACACAGAAGGACUGGUGAACAAGAAGAGGCUGAAGGAAUCACAUUAUUCAGGAAAAUUCCACUCUGAAGCCUACAGCACUCAUCCAUUUGAAUUAAUUAUGAUCUAGUACAACAACAAACAUCGGAUUGUCCUGCCACAGUUAUACAAUUCCCGACUAAUUUGAACCAGGCGUUGCAAUUAAACACACAACCUCCCUUCGGCAGCUUCGAACAGAAUCCGAAAUUUGCCAGACACUGCUGCUGCUGCUCUGCCCCGAAUUGAUCAGCUCCUCUUGGACCUGGGGCUACCGCUGUUGAUAAAUUAUUACCACCAGAAACGAUAAUAAUCAGAGUGGUAAUACAUAUGAUUGCCGCAAGGGAUGGGGUAUUGCUGCUGCGGGAGGUGGAAGCCAUGGUUAAUUAGGCGUUUGGCUUAUUAUUACAACAACUUAAUCUCGAAUAGAAGAAAUAACUCUGUUGCAACGGAAAAAGAAACUGCGUCUCGUGUAUUAAUAGAGCUGGUAGCUACUGUUUUGGCGUGUUGCAGAGCAGCUGUUGUUUUUAAAUUUCUUUGUGCUGGGAGGGCGCAAGUUUUGGUAACGUAUUAGUUUGUUUUGACACAGAGGACAUCCG
RNAcentral lists this long non-coding RNA (687 nucleotides) under Linum usitatissimum (flax). RNAcentral describes it as "long non-coding RNA (LUSI_LNC002879)". Lineage: Eukaryota; Viridiplantae; Streptophyta; Magnoliopsida; Malpighiales; Linaceae. The record is from RNAcentral.